RNAcentral lists this long non-coding RNA (246 nucleotides) under Carica papaya (papaya). Its description in RNAcentral is "long non-coding RNA (CPAP_LNC012165)". Lineage: Eukaryota; Viridiplantae; Streptophyta; Magnoliopsida; Brassicales; Caricaceae. The record is from RNAcentral.
AACAGGAAACUAUGCAGAAAGUUGGAAAUACCAUCCCAUCAAAGCAGUAGUAAAACUGAAGUAGACUUCUGCACUCACCAUUUCUUAUAAGCGUCUAUUAGUUUUUUCCUUUUUUUUUUUCUCUGUUUCCUAUUUGUUUUCGUAUACGUGCAUACUCUGUCUGUGUUCAUUAUUAUGGUGAGUACAGCAAACCCAUAUCCCUCUUCUAUAUAUUAUAUAUAACCCAUAUCUCUGUACAGCUGCGUG